GUUCUGUGACGAGUAACAACGACAAGCAUAUGGCUGAGUGUUCCUUGAUGUCACCUCCUCUCUGAGAAC
This 69-nucleotide small nucleolar RNA is filed under the name Calidris pygmaea (Spoon-billed sandpiper). RNAcentral's name for it is "Small nucleolar RNA SNORD27 (ENSCPGG00000007342.1)". Lineage: Eukaryota; Metazoa; Chordata; Aves; Charadriiformes; Scolopacidae. The record is from RNAcentral.